Molecule: long non-coding RNA, 455 nt
Filed under: Lepisosteus oculatus (spotted gar)
Lineage: Eukaryota; Metazoa; Chordata; Actinopteri; Semionotiformes; Lepisosteidae
Description: lncRNA (ENSLOCG00000022219.1)
Source: RNAcentral
UUUUAACUCCAGAUACUGGUGAAGUAUCCCAGGGAUGUCCAGCCCUGCUCUAACAGAACAUCUCUCCAGCCGCCUGGCUGCACAGAACCGCCGCCUGUCAGUCAGUGCAGGAGCUCACACGGCCGCUGUCCAGUAACACGCCGGACACCGGCGCUUUGUUGCUUCCGCCGGCGCUGUGCUCACAGAUCUUUUUGUCAACUGACACGAAGAGAGAUGCUCUCUGCGCUCAUAUGGGGUCUCGAAGUCACGCCAGGCACUGGACCCGCCCCCUCAGGCUCCGCCCCCCGCUUGCAGCUGAUUGGUCGAAUCAGGAGCGAGACAGGCGAGCCCAGCGAGCUCGAGCCCGGCUCGAGUCUCCCCUCUCCUCAGCCGUCAGCGAGAGGUGGCGCGCGACGCAGGUGCGUACAGUGCGACUCUUGAAUUUAGUUUAAAUUUACUAACAUUACUACAACUGU